Long non-coding RNA from Meriones unguiculatus (Mongolian gerbil), 831 nucleotides. RefSeq lists it as uncharacterized. The transcript is spliced from 3 exons. The record is from RefSeq and is a predicted model, not a curated record. NCBI's taxonomy places the organism in Eukaryota, Metazoa, Chordata, Mammalia, Rodentia, Muridae.
ACUUGUUGAGACUCAACCUGUGUAGAGAGAAACAGGUUCUCUGGUCAUCCCAGCCCUCUAGCGUCUUGCCCAGGAGCCACCAAAAGGCAGGGCCAGAGGAACCCAACAGACGGUCUCCUCCAACCUCCUCACUUGACAGCCAGGGAAACUGAGGCCCGGAGAAAGGGGGAGGUGGCCACCCCUAACUAAUCUGUUAGCAGCAAUAGGGCAACGGCCAGAUAAGUGUUUUCCUAUGGCUGUCUAUGGACACCAUGCCCUUCCAAGUCCAGUGAUGGAAAGACUCCUAAGAUAGUUUGACAGUUCACAGUGUCAACCUGACAGGAUCUAGAAGCAACGAAGAGACAACUCUCUGGGCUAAUUGAUGAGGGACAACCCACCCUGGAUGGAAGCAGCUCCAUUCCAUGGACUGGAGUCCUGGACUGAAUUGAAAGGAGAAAGCGAGCUGAGCUCUGGCAUCCACCUCUCUCUGCUUCCUGACUGUGGAUGCCAUGUGACCAGCUGCCUCACGCUCCUGCCGCCAUGCCUUCCCCGCCAUGAUGGACAAAAGACAAAGACAAAGAUGUGAGAAGCCAGCUUCCUGCUCUCGCCACCAUCCUGCCUGCCCUUUCCCCUGCUCUCAUCACCAGGAUGGACUCCCCCUCUGGAACCAUCAGGCACAAAUGAAUCCUUUCCUUUCUAAGUUGUUAUUCUUGGGGCCUUGCUGGUGUGCACGGCGUUCACCUGGUAUCGACGGUUGGAGCCUGUAGGAGGAAGAGCCGGGGCUCACUGUCUGGGAUCAGGAAGUCCUGCUUGUGUGGAGACUCUGGAAGCUAGAAGGAAAGCUUGACCAGC